RNAcentral lists this ribosomal RNA (253 nucleotides) under uncultured bacterium. RNAcentral describes it as "partial 16S ribosomal RNA". It matches the Rfam family "Bacterial small subunit ribosomal RNA", at positions 524 to 776 of the family's 1533-position model. The record is from RNAcentral.
UACAGAGGGUGCAAGCGUUAAUCGGAAUUACUGGACGUAAAGCGUGCGUAGACGGUUACAUAAGUCGGGUGUGAAAGCCCCGGGCUCAACCUGGGAAUUGCAUUCGAAACUGCGUAGCUAGGGUGCGGAAGAGGGAAGCGGAAUUUCCGGUGUAGCGGUGAAAUGCGUAGAUAUCGGAAGGAACACCAGUGGCGAAAGCGGCUUCCUGGUCCAGCACCGACGUUCAGGCACGAAAGCGUGGGGAGCAAACAGG